GACGAACGCUGGCGGCGUGCCUAAUACAUGCAAGUAGAACGCUGAAGAGAGGAGCUUGCUCUUCUUGGAUGAGUUGCGAACGGGUGAGUAACGCGUAGGUAACCUGCCUUGUAGCGGGGGAUAACUAUUGGAAACGAUAGCUAAUACCGCAUAACAAUGGAUGACACAUGUCAUUUAUUUGAAAGGGGCAAUUGCUCCACUACAAGAUGGACCUGCGUUGUAUUAGCUAGUAGGUGAGGUAACGGCUCACCUAGGCGACGAUACAUAGCCGACCUGAGAGGGUGAUCGGCCACACUGGGACUGAGACACGGCCCAGACUCCUACGGGAGGCAGCAGUAGGGAAUCUUCGGCAAUGGGGGCAACCCUGACCGAGCAACGCCGCGUGAGUGAAGAAGGUUUUCGGAUCGUAAAGCUCUGUUGUAAGUCAAGAACGAGUGUGAGAGUGGAAAGUUCACACUGUGACGGUAGCUUACCAGAAAGGGACGGCUAACUACGUGCCAGCAGCCGCGGUAAUACGUAGGUCCCGAGCGUUGUCCGGAUUUAUUGGGCGUAAAGCGAGCGCAGGCGGUUUGAUAAGUCUGAAGUUAAAGGCUGUGGCUCAACCAUAGUUCGCUUUGGAAACUGUCAAACUUGAGUGCAGAAGGGGAGAGUGGAAUUCCAUGUGUAGCGGUGAAAUGCGUAGAUAUAUGGAGGAACACCGGUGGCGAAAGCGGCUCUCUGGUCUGUAACUGACGCUGAGGCUCGAAAGCGUGGGGAGCGAACAGGAUUAGAUACCCUGGUAGUCCACGCCGUAAACGAUGAGUGCUAGGUGUUGGAUCCUUUCCGGGAUUCAGUGCCGCAGCUAACGCAUUAAGCACUCCGCCUGGGGAGUACGACCGCAAGGUUGAAACUCAAAGGAAUUGACGGGGGCCCGCACAAGCGGUGGAGCAUGUGGUUUAAUUCGAAGCAACGCGAAGAACCUUACCAGGUCUUGACAUCCCGAUGCUAUUUCUAGAGAUAGAAAGUUACUUCGGUACAUCGGUGACAGGUGGUGCAUGGUUGUCGUCAGCUCGUGUCGUGAGAUGUUGGGUUAAGUCCCGCAACGAGCGCAACCCCUAUUGUUAGUUGCCAUCAUUCAGUUGGGCACUCUAGCGGGACUGCCGGUAAUAAACCGGAGGAAGGUGGGGAUGACGUCAAAUCAUCAUGCCCCUUAUGACCUGGGCUACACACGUGCUACAAUGGUUGGUACAACGAGUUGCGAGUCGGUGACGGCAAGCUAAUCUCUUAAAGCCAAUCUCAGUUCGGAUUGUAGGCUGCAACUCACCUACAUGAAGUCGGAAUCGCUAGUAAUCGCGGAUCAGCACGCCGCGGUGAAUACGUUCCCGGGCCU
This 1369-nucleotide ribosomal RNA is filed under the name uncultured bacterium. RNAcentral's name for it is "bacterial SSU rRNA". It matches the Rfam family "Bacterial small subunit ribosomal RNA", at positions 28 to 1381 of the family's 1533-position model. The record is from RNAcentral.